ACUCCUACGGGAGGCAGCAGUGGGAAUAUUGCACAAUGGGCGCAAGCCUGAUGCAGCCAUGCCGCGUGUAUGAAGAAGGCCUUCGGGUUGUAAAGUACUUUCAGCAGUGGAAGGAGGUGGAUAGUCGUAAGUACGCGCAUUCAUUGACGUUAGCUGCAGAAGAAGCACCGGCUAACUCCGUGCCAGCAGCCGCGGUAAUACGGAGGGUGCGAGCGUUAAUCGGAAUUACUGGGCGUAAAGCGCAUGCAGGUGGUUUGUUAAGUCAGAUGUGAAAGCCCGGGCUCAAGCCUCGGAAUUGCAUUUGAAACUGGACAGACUAGAGUACUGUAGAGGGGGU
RNAcentral lists this ribosomal RNA (337 nucleotides) under uncultured bacterium. RNAcentral describes it as "bacterial SSU rRNA". It matches the Rfam family "Bacterial small subunit ribosomal RNA", at positions 335 to 661 of the family's 1533-position model. The record is from RNAcentral.